Molecule: small RNA, 96 nt
Filed under: Microcebus murinus (gray mouse lemur)
Lineage: Eukaryota; Metazoa; Chordata; Mammalia; Primates; Cheirogaleidae
Description: Y RNA (ENSMICG00000023754.3)
Source: RNAcentral
GGAUUGAUUACAGGCCGUGAGCCACCACUGGGAGCCCCCAAUUACAGAUUUCUUUGUUCCUUCUCCAUUCCCACUGCUUCACCCGACUAGCCUUUA